This 224-nucleotide long non-coding RNA is filed under the name Elaeis guineensis (African oil palm). Its description in RNAcentral is "long non-coding RNA (EGUI_LNC012780)". The record is from RNAcentral. Lineage: Eukaryota; Viridiplantae; Streptophyta; Magnoliopsida; Arecales; Arecaceae.
CCUUUUUCAAGCCCUUCUGUGUUAGGACUGCAUGCAUCUUAACUUGUCAUAAAUUGAAACUGCCAGUAUCAUCAAACUUCUCAAUAUCAAAUAAUGAAAAAGCCAUAGCGAUCGAUCUCAUGAAAUUGGCUCUAAAAUCAGUUUGUUAUGAAAGAUAUGAGAAAGAGAGAAGAAAAAAUACACUGACACGUAAUUUACGUGGUUCGGCUAUGUGCCUACUCCAC